RNAcentral lists this long non-coding RNA (1384 nucleotides) under Homo sapiens (human). RNAcentral describes it as "HSALNT0296818". Lineage: Eukaryota; Metazoa; Chordata; Mammalia; Primates; Hominidae. The record is from RNAcentral.
GCCGAAAGGUGGGAGCGAAAUAAAACAAGGAGCAGAACCGCGAAGAAGCCAUGUUUGGUGCGUCGAAGUUUAAACUCGUAGGACUUGGGAGGAGCCAAGGUAUAUCCGCAGAAGAGACCACCCCUGCCCUUUCGCUUUGACGCUCAUUGGGCCUUUUGGCUGCGCAUUUCACCCCGGGCUGAGAAAACAAGCUGGGGAUUCGACAAGAAUGAACUCAAAGUCUGGAAACGGCAGCUUCUGAGAGUUUACAAUGUUUCACCAACUGUCGUCCAAAUAAGUCGUCACCCCUGUCAGAGUAGUUGCAGCUCUGCCGUUACCCACUGCUGUCACUGUGGCCGUUUUAUUCGCGAGGGUUACAGUUCUGUUUAGCAUGCAUCUAAUGACUUAAGACUCCACGCAAGUAAAACGGAGUUUCCUCCCAUUAAGUAUUGGCUUUGCUUUAACAGUGCUUUGAGAGGCUCUCUGUGGCCAACAUAUCUUCUCAUAUCUUUGUCCUCGUUUCCCAAUCUCCGCGUGGUGAAAUCAUCUAUCAAGACUUGGCUUAAAGGACCUCUCUUCUGCAAAUAAUGCCAUCUUCCGCUAGGUGCUCACUGCACACAGACUCGCCGCCCACCACUUCUGUCCACCUUCUGAACUCCGAUAGUUAUUUACCCAGAGACUGUUUCUCAUCUUUAAGUGUCGUGAAGACUUUAAGAUCUGUUUUAUCUCUCUAUACCCCAAAAUGGCCUAGCACAGUAACUAGGACAUUGUAGGUGCUCAAUAAAUGUUUGUCGAAUAUCAAUGACAGCAGGAGGCAGUAAAUGGUCCCUCUUUGUAGGGCCUACAGCUGUGCCUGAGUAGGAUGUACAGAAGUCCUGCAUACGUGUGAAGUGUCUCCAGGAAGCUGCACUGGAGGGGACAGGAAAUGGACAAAUGCUUUUGGAAUCCUGAUCUGACAUGAAAAAAGUUCACCUGAAGCUGCCAUCCUGGAAGACUAUGAGAUGGAGAUGCCCAAGAAGCCCCAGGAAAUUGCCAGUGCUCUGGAUGCAAAUGGAUUUUUCCUUAGGAAUUCAGAGUUGCUGAGUUUUGCAUCAAGACUGAAAGAGGCCAAAAAGAGAAGCUGUGUGGUAGGACUGUGUGAUGACUCAUCCUACUCAAAAUUCUCUAGACUCGGUUUGUGCAAUAUUGGAUUCUACAAUGCUGAGCAAGGGAAGAAAAGUGUUUAAAGGAGAGCCACAAAUAAGAAUAUAUAGGUUGAAUAUAAACUUUAUAGAGCCUGAAUAGAUUGGAAUGGAAUAGAUGGAGGCUUCACACUCCUUCCCACAUGCAUUGUCCUAUGCAUCUCUUCAUCUGGUGUUCAUCGGUAUCCUUUGUAAUAUCCUUUAUAAUAAGCUAGUAAAUGUGA